AACGUAGCUUGCUACCGGACCUAUCGGCGGACGGGUGAGUAAUGCUUAUGAAUCUGCCUAUUACUGGGGGACAACAUCUCGAAAGGGAUGCUAAUACCGCAUACGUCCUACGGGAGAAAGCAGGGGAUCUUCGGACCUUGCGCUAAUAGAUGAGCCUAAGUCGGAUUAGCUAGUUGGUGGGGUAAAGGCCUACCAAGGCGACGAUCUGUAUCGGGUCUGAGAGGAUGAUCCGCCACACUGGGACUGAGACACGGCCCAGACUCCUACGGGAGGCAGCAGUGGGGAAUAUUGGACAAUGGGGGGAACCCUGAUCCAGCCAUGCCGCGUGUGUGAAGAAGGCCUUAUGGUUGUAAAGCACUUUAAGCGAGGAGGAGGCUACUUUAGUUAAUACCUAUGGAUAGUGGACGUUACUCGCAGAAUAAACACCGGCUAACUCUGUGCCAGCAGCCGCGGUAAUACAGAGGGUGCGAGCGUUAAUCGGAUUUACUGGGCGUAAAGCGUGCGUAGGCGGCUUAUUAAGUCGGAUGUGAAAUCCCCGAGCUUAACUUGGGAAUUGCAUUCGAUACUGGUGAGCUAGAGUAUGGGAGAGGAUGGUAGAAUUCCAUGUGUAGCGGUGAAAUGCGUAGAGAUCUGGAGGAAUACCGAUGGCGAACGCAGCCAUCUGGCCUAAUACUGACUCUGAGGUACGAAAGCAUGGGG
RNAcentral lists this ribosomal RNA (699 nucleotides) under Acinetobacter baumannii. RNAcentral's name for it is "bacterial SSU rRNA". It matches the Rfam family "Bacterial small subunit ribosomal RNA", at positions 72 to 766 of the family's 1533-position model. Lineage: Bacteria; Pseudomonadati; Pseudomonadota; Gammaproteobacteria; Moraxellales; Moraxellaceae. The record is from RNAcentral.